UUGCUCUUAUGAGUUAGUGGCGCACGGGUGAGUAAUGUAUAGCUAAUCUGCCCUACACUAGAGGACAACAGUUGGAAACGACUGCUAAUACUCUAUACUCCUCUCUAGCAUAAGUUAGAUAGGGAAAGUUUUUCGGUGUAGGAUGAGGCUAUAUUGUAUCAGCUAGUUGGUGAGGUAAUGGCUCACCAAGGCUAUGACGCAUAACUGGUCUGAGAGGAUGAUCAGUCACACUGGAACUGAGACACGGUCCAGACUCCUACGGGAGGCAGCAGUAGGGAAUAUUGCUCAAUGGGGGAAACCCUGAAGCAGCAACGCCGCGUGGAGGAUGACACUUUUCGGAGCGUAAACUCCUUUUGUUAGGGAAGAACAAUGACGGUACCUAACGAAUAAGCACCGGCUAACUCCGUGCCAGCAGCCGCGGUAAUACGGAGGGUGCAAGCGUUACUCGGAAUCACUGGGCGUAAAGGACGCGUAGGCGGAUUAUCAAGUCUCUUGUGAAAUCCUAUGGCUUAACCAUAGAACUGCUUGGGAAACUGAUAAUCUAGAGUGAGGGAGAGGCAGAUGGAAUUGGUGGUGUAGGGGUAAAAUCCGUAGAGAUCACCAGGAAUACCCAUUG
Molecule: ribosomal RNA, 616 nt
Filed under: uncultured Campylobacterota bacterium
Lineage: Bacteria; Pseudomonadati; Campylobacterota
Description: bacterial SSU rRNA
Rfam family: Bacterial small subunit ribosomal RNA
Source: RNAcentral